UCUGUUCUGGAUUAUAUACCAGAUCUUGUGACCUUUCCCCUUGUAGAAUUGCUAGUUGGUCCAUGUGUUUCUUGGUUAGUUCUCUGAAACUAUGACCUUAAUAUAAUUUGCUUCUGUCAGUAAACUUAAUCUAAAAAUCACAUAUGGAAGGGACUAGUCAGCCUGUAUUAGCCUUGUCCUAAUUUUAACUUAGAAUCUUCAAGAUAACCUGAAGUAUGCUUAUCUUUCCUAUAAUACUUGUUGGAAUUUAAUUCCAUUGAUAAAGGUAGCAUUAGUAUCAAGCUAACUAUUCAGUUUAACUCUAACCAUUGACAACGUUGAACAUUAAUCAUUCAAGUUCUUCCGUUUUGUACCAAGCUAAAGAACUGUGGGUUGAGCAUAUGUAAUCUUGAUAAUUGCUUUGGAUUUAAACUCUAUGAACCGAAGUGUUUUUUUCAGUUCAUCAUCUCUGUCCAUUUUGACUUUAUUCAUACACCAUUGAAUUGAUCUGUUGUUGUCUUAGCUUCAAGUUUGAUUUGAAAAACGUGUAUUAGUGACAAAGCAACGAAAACAUGAAUCAAUGUAUUGUUAAGGUUUCGAGUUUUCCAGUAGAUUAUUGUCAGAGAGGACAACAUUUUAUUAUGUGUGCAUCUGUUUCUUUGUGAAACAUGCAUGUAAAUAAAAAUAUGUGCUUAUAUAUAGUUUUAAACGUGAUAUUGUGUAGUAACAACACUGUUCUUUCUUGUUUUGCAGGUUUACUAAAGCUAUCCGAUAAAAAUGUUCAAAGAAGUUGAUGGUGGAAGUUUUAGUAGAGUAACUAUUUCAACAACAAACAUUUUGCUAUGGAUCAGUCACACAUGGGCAUUUUUUAUGGAACAAAAUGCUUAUCAUUGCUGGAUUUCUAGCCGUAGUUUGUAUUUUUGUUGUUAAAACCAUGAUUAGCACACCUCUGUAGUGCUAUGUUAUUUGUGUGAAUCGAUAUGUAUAACUUGUGGUUAGCGUCUGUCAGUGGGUUGAAGUGUUAUUUUGCUGAUUACCUGUGUGUUUCAUGUUUUUUCCUUAAAAUUCGUGAAUUAUUAUCUAGUACUUUGUGUCAUUCCUGAAAUUUUUUUCAAGGAAAUAUACAUAAAUUUUGAUUACUUCUGAAUUGGUAUGAUGUUUCUGUAAAGAAACCGAGUCAUUUUCAUGAUUCCUGAAUAUUAC
This 1182-nucleotide long non-coding RNA is filed under the name Triticum aestivum (bread wheat). Its description in RNAcentral is "long non-coding RNA (TAES_LNC014516)". Lineage: Eukaryota; Viridiplantae; Streptophyta; Magnoliopsida; Poales; Poaceae. The record is from RNAcentral.